CCUGACUGCUAUCGGAUUGAUACUAAGCCAUGCGAGUCAUUGCAGUAAUGCAAGGCAGACGGCUCAGUAACGCGUAGUCAACCUACCCUAUGGACGGGAAUAACCUCGGGAAACUGAGUAUAAUGCCCGAUAGAACACUAUACCUGGAAUGGUUUGUGUUCCAAAUGAAUGUCGCCGUAGGAUGGGACUGCGGCCUAUCAGUUUGUUGGUGAGGUAAUGGCCCACCAAGACUAUUACAGGUACGGGCUCUGAGAGGAGUAGCCCGGAGAUGGGUACUGAGACACGGACCCAGGCCCUAUGGGGCGCAGCAGGCGAGAAAACUUUGCAAUGUGCGAAAGCACGACAAGGUUAAUCCGAGUGGUUUGUGCUAAACGAACCUUUUGACAGUCCUAGAAACACUGUUGAAUAAGGGGUGGGCAAGUUCUGGUGUCAGCCGCCGCGGUAAAACCAGCACCUCAAGUGGUCAGGAUGAUUAUUGGGCCUAAAGCAUCCGUAGCCGGCUCUGUAAGUUUUCGGUUAAAUCUGUACGCUCAACGUACAGGCUGCCGGGAAUACUGCAGAGCUAGGGAGUGGGAGAGGUAGACGGUACUCGGUAGGAAGGGGUAAAAUCCUUUGAUCUAUUGAUGACCACCUGUGGCGAAAGCGGUCUACCAGAACACGUCCGACGGUGAGGGAUGAAAGCUGGGGGAGCAAACCGGAUUAGAUACCCGGGUAGUCCCAGCUGUAACUAUGCAAACUCAGUGAUGCAU
RNAcentral lists this ribosomal RNA (749 nucleotides) under uncultured bacterium. RNAcentral's name for it is "bacterial SSU rRNA". It matches the Rfam family "Archaeal small subunit ribosomal RNA", at positions 21 to 779 of the family's 1478-position model. The record is from RNAcentral.